GACGAACGCUGGCGGCGUGCUUAACACAUGCAAGUCGAACGGAAAGGCCCUGCUUUUGUGGGGUGCUCGAGUGGCGAACGGGUGAGUAACACGUGAGUAACCUGCCCUUGACUUUGGGAUAACUUCAGGAAACUGGGGCUAAUACCGGAUCGGAGCUCCUGCUGCAUGGUGGGGGUUGGAACGUUUCGGCGGUUGGGGAUGGACUCGCGGCUUAUCAGCUUGUUGGUGGGGUAGUGGCUUACCAAGGCUUUGACGGGUAGCCGGCCUGAGAGGGUGACCGGCCACAUUGGGACUGAGAUACGGACCAGACUCCUACGGGAGGCAGCAGUGGGGAAUAUUGCACAAUGGGCGGAAGCCUGAUGCAGAAACGCCGCGGGCGGGAUGACGGCCUUCGGGUUGUAAAACGCUUUCGCCUGUGACGAAGCGUGAGUGACGGUAAUGGGUAAAGAAGCACCGGCUAACUACGUG
This 468-nucleotide ribosomal RNA is filed under the name uncultured bacterium. RNAcentral describes it as "partial 16S ribosomal RNA". It matches the Rfam family "Bacterial small subunit ribosomal RNA", at positions 28 to 507 of the family's 1533-position model. The record is from RNAcentral.